AGGAAACAACUAUUUUGGUCAUGUCACCUGUGAGUCGGGGACUGCUAAAAUAUAAAAGACACUAUAUUAUUAUAUUUGAAAUCUAAGUCGGUAAAUGUGAGUGAAUUAGCUUUGUUGGGUGCGUUGUAACUGGAACAGUGGUUUAUCUGUCAAUUGCAUUCAAAUCAGUUACCACUACGUCAUCUGUUAUUUCAUUUAGACGGAAAAAUUAUCGGACCUAAAUGCUUUUAAGGCGCCAUCGGAUCUCAAUUAUAAAUUUGUCAAACAAUGCCGAUAGUCGAAUUUACCGUUAUACCUACAUUAUUAUCUGAAAUAACUAGCUAAUAUGGAAGCUGGAGCCCUAAACCAUUCUAGAUGACUAACAGCGAAUCAUUCUAAAAUUGUAUACCACUUGAACUGACCCAGAAGAAAAGCUAGUUGUAUUAGCCACGUAUGUUAUGAAAGUUCAUGGACCAAUGUGGUUUACAAUAAAACGUAAUUCUUCAUACAUUAACGGAGCCAAAAACAUAUGGCAAACCAUUAAUCUAUGUCGUUAUUUGAAUUCCAAUAUGAAAGUCAUCGUUGACAAGGUAAUCCAACGAAAUGGAUACUUUGGUCACCCAGAAAAUCUUCUCAUUGCCAUGCUUGGUGAUGACAGAGAGAUUUUAAGAGGUCUUGCAUAUCGAAGAAUUGUAAAACAAAGAUCAGAGAAAGCUCGAAGACUUCGAACCUUUAAAGUACCUACAUUCAAUUUCGAUGCCUAAGAUUACACUGAGAUUAUUAUGUGGCAAGACUCCGAUAUAACUAAUGAAUCUCUAACUUUAAAAAUGUUUGAUGAAACCUUGAAAAACAUUGUCAACCGUUUUUGGUACAUGUAAGGAUAUUAUAGAUUUUCUAUGCCACACCCAAGCUGUGGAGCGCUGCAUCAAGUUGAUAACAGAAGCAUCGAACGCAGUUUGUGGGGAAAAUAAACGAGAUGGCUUCAUUAGGGCAAGACUGCUAUCACGUCCACGAAUGCCUCAUUUCAAUACAAAAAAAAAAGUUUUUUAAGAGAAUAUUUUUUCGUAAUAAAUGCUUAGAAUGGCAUUUUUUUUGUUUUAUUUAAAUGCUUGACUGUACUGGGGCACCUCAAAACAUUAAGCCAGCUGUUUGGUAUUUUGCAUAUUUGUUUUAUAUAUUAAAAGGCAACUUUUCAUAGCUAUGCCGUUAAAAACCAGAAAAAAAAUUUUUUCUCCAUUCAUUAUCGCUCCACCUUAUUAUUGAAGAUAAGCAUGAGAGGUUGUACCAAGGCAGUACAAUUUUUCAUAAGUACAGGCGGACGCCCAUCCACAUCCUAUUUAAAAGAAGACUUAAUAUCACAAAUAGCCUUGGCAAUAUCAUCCUGUGAAAGACACAGUGUUCCAAAAUUUAUGGAUGGAAGGCAACUUAUAUGGUUGUAUAUGUUUAAGCGGGAUAUUAUAAUGACAAAAUUCCUGAAUUGAUUUCUUAAAAAUGGAGAAACUAUUAGCUGUAUCUAGUCCCGAAAGUAAAUCAUCCCAUUUAAUCUCAGUGAGCAGAUUUUCGAGUCGUUCAAAAUCACUAAAUGCAAAAUUAAAACCAAGCCCAUCAAUAUUUAAAAUUUAACAGGAGCGAAAAGAUAAGUAUCCACCUCAAACGCUAACGGAAAAUGAUGUAUGGUAGCUGGAGUAAUUGAAGAGAAUCCAUCAAGAAACCUACAUCUUAAAUAAUCACUGAGAAAGACUAAGUCAAGAAAUCGAUCGAGACUAUUUGAAUAUCAGUUGAUUUGAAUCAGAUUGAGACUAAGCAAGCUAUCAAUGAGAAAUAACUCCUGAGAAGUGUUUGUUUUAGCGUACAAACCAGUGCUGCCACAUCGACGAAUUUUUCCGGAUUUUUCGAGGCUACAUACAUGUCAAUAUAAACCCAUACUUUUAUGCAAUUCGAUAUCCUUUAUUGUAUAUAAAUAGAGUCCUGGUGUCGAUUUAUAUAGAAAUGAUGUGAUGUGGGAUUUUUCCAUAUUUUUGAAUAUAAUGCAAUAGUUAUGGUAAUUUAUUAGUGCGUUCAUAAGCAAUUGACCUUACAAUGUUGAAGAUUUAUAGGUAUGGUUGUUCUGAUAUUUGGCAUGGCAGUUAAAUUUCUGAACAAAAAGACCAAACUGCAGGACUGGUAUGUUUACGUUUUAACUCCAUUUAGAUUGGCCCUUCAACAUAUAUUUCAAUGCAGAAAACAAUUUGUGUAAGUUUUAAUAUAUUUAUUUCCUAAUAUGAUGCAAUUUUGGUAAUACCUUUUUGUAAACAAAUUCUCAACUCCGGAGAUCUGCUAUGUUAUUUUUAUUUAUAUUACAAUGUAACGGUAUGCAAUUUAAUGGCAAUCUGUUCUACGAAAUACGAACCUACUGUAUUUAAAAACACAAACACUGUCAUUUCUGCAAUUUCUUGGGCAAUUAUUCGAGUUUAUUUAAUAUUUGUAAAAAGCAAAAAUGAAUAUUUAAGAAAAUAAUUUCAAAUGUUUGUCUAGUUAACGUGAUUAGAGGUACCAAUAUGACUUUUGACAUAAAUAAUACUUCAAUGCUUUCAAAAUUGUUCGAAUUUCCGAGACGUAAUGUAAGUGAGGGUCGCAACGCAUUAUUGUACAUUUACCAUUAUAAUAAAACUUCUUACUGCUACGAUUUAAAUUAAUAUUAAUACCUUGAGACGCACUUAGUAAUUAAACUUUGAAUAAAAUAUAAAAAUAUAAUAAAAUAUA
Bactrocera neohumeralis is the source of this 2721-nucleotide long non-coding RNA. RefSeq lists it as uncharacterized. Lineage: Eukaryota; Metazoa; Arthropoda; Insecta; Diptera; Tephritidae. The transcript is spliced from 3 exons. The record is from RefSeq and is a predicted model, not a curated record.